AGGGGAGACUUGGUGGGAGAAGGUUGGUUUAUUUGCCUGCUGAAUCCUGCAAACUUGAGGCCUAACUGGGGGUAAGGUGUCAGCUGAAGGAGAAGCUGGCUAAGGCCCUACAGCUGGCCUAAAUCACCACCCCAGCUCCGAGGAGAGCUUGUGGGGAAGAAGGGACUCCUGUUUUAAGGAAACAGAAAGGGAGAGAAAAAGGCUGCCUGCUUGAAGUAUAGCCUAGCUGCUACUAGCGAAGCUGGGAAGGGCCUUAGGAAGCUCCUCAGUAACUGCUUGGGAAGAAGCUGUAUGAGGAGACAGCUUUGAGUAUGAAUAGUGGAGUCUGCAGCCUUGUGAGAGACGCUGACAAACAGGUAAAAGGUAGGAGCAGCCCAGGGAAGUGGCAGUGGAUUGGAAUGAGCAGCCCUUAGCUACACAACACAGGGUCCCUGGGCUGGAGCCCAGAAGAGAAGAGGGGCUGAACUGAGAGAAGACCCACCCAGAAGGCUUGGCCAUGGAAGCUGGAGAUUGCUACAGCCCAGGAUGACAGGUGUCCGGCACUAAAGAAGAAGCCCGGCAAUGCCGCAGCAUGGCCCAAAGGGGUGCACUGGUGGGGACAAGUGCAGAGCCUAGAAGAAUGAGCUUUCCUGAGGCGGAACCGCUGGUCACCUCUUUGAUUGGCCUUGAUGUGGGAAUCCAAAAUACCCAUUGGGCAACUGCCAAGGAGAGGAAGAAACUGCAGCUAUAAUGUAAGGAAUCUGUGUGGCCCAGCCAGGCCUCCCUCACCUGGCUCGCUUCCCUCAGCAAUUUGUACUGGGCGAGCUCCCAGAAUCUUCAGCAGCUCUUGUGCCCCAGAUAUCUCGGUGUCGCUGGCUGCUUGGCCAACCCAAAGGUAAGCAGCGGAAGGAGUUUUCAGGACAAAUGCAUCGUUUGAGUUCAGUUCACUGGCAACAGCAUCCAGCUGAAAAGCAACAGCACCAUAGCUAUCAAACAGGUUGGUAGUCUUGCCACUGACAAUUAUAUAAGGACUAUGAUCAGUGCCCCUGGCACUGCUGAACAAAGUUUAACCAUCCACUGUAAAAACAUCAGUGACUAAGGGAUUGUAUAACAAGCAUGAGAAGAUUAAACAGGGGUGGGUGGGUGUGGUAUGUAUGAUGACUUGCAGCCAGAAUAGGUAGGGCUGGGAUCUUGCCAGAUCUCACAAACAGCAGCAGGAUACUUAAGUACUCAGAGGGGAAACCUCCACAGAACAAACUCCAUGCUGCUAGCAUUGGUGAUUCUGUAGUUGGCAUUCUUCCCCUGGGUCAGUAAUGAACCAAUACCCUAGCAUGGAGCUAGGAGGCUGCUGGAGUAUUUAUGACUAAUGAGCAAGAUUUAUUUUUUUUUAUUUAUGUAUUUAUUUAUUUUGCAAGAAUAGGUGAAUGAACCCAAGUCCUGGCUCAAAUUCUAUUUGGAUACAAGAUACUUCUCACUUCCUGCCUUUAGCUGUUAAGUACCAUUGUUGUGGGCUGUUAAACCAACUGCUGCAUCCCAUCUCAGAGGCUGAUGCUCUUCAAAGGUGCAUGAAAGUCUCACUUUAUAUUAGUAUGCAAAGUCCUUUGGGCACUGUGGAGAAAAGCCCUUAACAAUAUAAAAUGGUAUUAAUAAACUCAUGGGAACAGUGUGAUUAUUACUACUUACCCAUGGGAAAAGGGGAAGCUCUCAAUAGCCUAUCGAGACUCUGAAGUUUGUUUCAAUUCAGCACAAGUCCCACAAAGUUUAACGUGGCCUUGCCUUUUCUCUCAGAGGGAAUGUGGUGUGACAAGAUACAAGAUCUUGCAUUCCAACUGCUACGUGUGAACCCAAUGUUUGGGAUUAGCUGGCUUUCCCAUCACGUACCUCUACUGCUCUGGUGGCUCCAGACGUGCUGGACCGGACCUGAAACAGCCGUGUUGCAGCUGGUGCUGUCUGGCCUCCAUCUCUGGAGGUUCCACCCUUGUAGACAAUCAAAGGUUUCCUGCCAAACAUGCUCAUCAGA
This is a long non-coding RNA of Dermochelys coriacea (leatherback sea turtle), 1999 nucleotides long. RefSeq lists it as uncharacterized. Lineage: Eukaryota; Metazoa; Chordata; Testudines; Dermochelyidae. The record is from RefSeq and is a predicted model, not a curated record. The transcript has 3 exons.